UUGCACUCAUUGGAAACGACAGGACUUGGUCAAUCUUGGAAUCAAAUGUACUGGAUGAGGUCCAGUUGGAUGUGCCACUGCUGCCAGUCGUCCUUGAUGUCCAGGAUGCUGCUAUCAUCCUUGAGGAUAUGCCAGAUGUACCGACUAUCCUUGAGGAGGCCACUGGUAAUUGGCAGUUGAUACCGAUUAGGUUCAGCCCCCUGUACUGUGGGCCUGUUGUGAUCAGAG
Molecule: long non-coding RNA, 228 nt
Organism: Oncorhynchus masou masou (cherry salmon)
Lineage: Eukaryota; Metazoa; Chordata; Actinopteri; Salmoniformes; Salmonidae
Exons: 3
Source: RefSeq, a predicted model, not a curated record